UACGGAGGGUGCGAGCGUUGUCCGGAAUCACUGGGCGUAAAGGGCGCGUAGGCGGCCUGAUAAGUAGGGGGUGAAAUCCUGCGGCUUAACCGCAGGGCUGCCUUCUAAACUGUCAGGCUCGAGCACAGUAGAGGCAGGUGGAAUUCCCGGUGUAGCGGUGGAAUGCGUAGAGAUCGGGAAGAACAUCAGUGGCGAAGGCGGCCUGCUGGGCUGUUGCUGACGCUGAGGCGCGACAGCGUGGGGAGCAAAACAGG
RNAcentral lists this ribosomal RNA (254 nucleotides) under uncultured bacterium. Its description in RNAcentral is "partial 16S ribosomal RNA". It matches the Rfam family "Bacterial small subunit ribosomal RNA", at positions 524 to 776 of the family's 1533-position model. The record is from RNAcentral.